GUCUAUAGCCAUACCACCCUGAACAUGAUCCCAUCUGAUCUCAGAAGCUGAGCCAGGGUAGGGCCUGGUUAAUGCAUAGACAGAAA
RNAcentral lists this ribosomal RNA (86 nucleotides) under Mus pahari (shrew mouse). RNAcentral's name for it is "rRNA (MGP_PahariEiJ_G0032751.1)". Lineage: Eukaryota; Metazoa; Chordata; Mammalia; Rodentia; Muridae. The record is from RNAcentral.